AAAAAGGCAAACCGUGGGUUCCUGUGUCAAUGUUUGACUGUCCGUCUUAUAUGAAAUUUUUUUUAUAAUUAGUAUUUUCAUUGUUGUUAGAUGAUAAAACAUGAUUAAUACUUUAUGCGUGACUUAUCUUUUUAUUUUUUUUUAUAAUUUUUUCAAAUAAGACAAACGGUCAAACGUUGGACACGAAAACCAGGGUUUGUCUUUUU
Molecule: non-coding RNA, 206 nt
Organism: Oryza glaberrima (African rice)
Lineage: Eukaryota; Viridiplantae; Streptophyta; Magnoliopsida; Poales; Poaceae
Source: Rfam